UAAAUAAGUUUUAUUUUUUUAAAUAAUGUUUUAUAAGAAUUUCACUAAAAAGUUUAAUACAUUUUGUCGACUUUUUUGUUUUUAUUUUUACAGAAACUCACAAAGUUUCAAAAACCCGAACCAAAUAACAACUUUGGUAGUUAAUACGAAGCUAAAACUGGGAAAAUGUUUCACUUUAUGUAACUAUAAAACUACUGAUCACGAGAGCCAUAAUAAUAUGAUGUAAGCAGUUCCCUCUUUCAAUGGUGUUUGUUCCUUUGGUGCAUACAUCGUUGUAAACUGGAAAUUUUACUGUUGCAUUCCUCUGACAGUCAAGCUGCAGUUUACAGGCAUGUUUAUUCAGUCUGACCUUUGAACUUUGACAUAAAUCUCAGUCACAACAUAAGCAUAAAGAGCAAUAGAUAACAAAGAGGAAUAAUCUGGAUGUUAAGCCACACACACAGCUUCAUCUUCAGUGUUGCUUGACAGACUCUAAUGCAGUGUGGAGGGAUGAUGACCACUUUUCAUACACCUCUCCACAAAGCCAGUCCAAAUCCUCAAAAAGUGCUCAGCUGGAUUAAGAGCUGGUGACUCAGAUCAUUUUCAUACCCUUCAACCCAUUCAGUGACCUCCAAGCUUUGGCGUUAUGGAAAAGCCUCCUAAGUCCAGGCCUGUUCAAAAAGGUUGCCGUAUCCCCUCUGCAACUUCACGUUUUCCAUUUUGCCCAAAUAUUUGUUUGCACUUUUAUACUUGGAUCUGUAUUUCUGAGUGUACCAUUUAUAUAUUUAUAUGCAUAUAAUUCUGUGAUUUAAAGCAGGUUUUAUUACCUUAAAUUUGUGUAGCCUGUACAGGCCACCCACUGAGCAGCUUUAUUAAUUAUGCAGGAUCACUUCUGGCAUGCAGCUUUAACAGGUCUUUCUGCUUGAAUUUUAAUUUCAAACAUCUAUUAUACGGACACAGACCCCCUCCCCCCUCCUGGCCACACUGGCCAGGAGUACUGUCAUCCUUGUAGAAUCCACUCACAUCACAUCACAAUGAGAUAAACUUAUCACUCCAGAUAAUCCUGUAUUGAUUUGCAGUGAACCUUACCACUAAGGAGACAACUAGAUCCAAACCAUGUCAGCAAACUACCUCCCUUUAGCCUAGACUGAAGGGGUCAGCUUUUCCUUUUAUUCAUCAGGUAGUGGUCCGCUAUGACAGGCUGCAUACACUGUAGUUAUUUAAUGUACCUUUCAUAAAGUACUAGUAGUAAGAUCUCAUUGUGUCCAGAUUUGAACAUUGGAGGGUUCACCCUGGAACAGAAAUCAUCUUAGGUGAAAAACUGUGAUUCUGUGAUGUCACUUUGCUGAAAAAGUGUCAGAUUUUUAAUGCAAAUCCUCACUCUCAUACUCUCUUUAACAUGGAAAAAAGAAUUUGAGUGAGAAAUCAUGUGAGCACAGGCUUUAUUAACCAGUCCUGCAGGCUGAGUGCAGAACAAGAUCCUCCAAAUAAACAAACAAACAAAAAAAAUUAUCCUUAAUCAAAAUUCAUCUGACGAUCAGGUCGUUCGAGUUCAGACACAAAAACACCACAUCACCCUCAAUAAUUCCUCUCCUUUUGUCCAUUCAAACCCCUUUUUCACCUAGAAAAAAA
Long non-coding RNA from Oreochromis niloticus (Nile tilapia), 1611 nucleotides. RefSeq lists it as uncharacterized. The record is from RefSeq and is a predicted model, not a curated record. The transcript has 2 exons. Lineage: Eukaryota; Metazoa; Chordata; Actinopteri; Cichliformes; Cichlidae.